RNAcentral lists this long non-coding RNA (385 nucleotides) under Brassica rapa (field mustard). RNAcentral's name for it is "long non-coding RNA (BRAP_LNC008952)". The record is from RNAcentral. Lineage: Eukaryota; Viridiplantae; Streptophyta; Magnoliopsida; Brassicales; Brassicaceae.
CGGGAAUGGCUUCUCCUUGGGAGGGGUCAACGAGCCAUAAUGAGCAACCCACCAUGCCUCGUUCUCGGCAGGAUGCACCGAGUGAGGCACGAACUCCAUCUUCGGAACGACGAGCUCUUCAUAAGGACUCGCGGACGAAGACCCUUUUUUCGCAAUCUUUUUCUUGCUCGACAUCUUUACACUUCUCUUGAGAGAAUAGAGGAAAAGGGUGGAGAGAAAGAUAGAAAGUUUUUUUUUUUUUAAGAAAGAUCUUAGAGAAAGACAAGAAAGUGAAAAAAUUAUGGAACAAGUUACCUCCCUUCUUAUAAGACAUAAGGAUUUACUAUUCAAGCUCGGACUUUCGGAUAUUAAUUCCAUCCAUCACGCCUAACUUGCCAAACAUGUC